Molecule: ribosomal RNA, 278 nt
Filed under: Segatella copri DSM 18205
Lineage: Bacteria; Pseudomonadati; Bacteroidota; Bacteroidia; Bacteroidales; Prevotellaceae
Description: Prevotella copri DSM 18205 partial 16S ribosomal RNA
Rfam family: Bacterial small subunit ribosomal RNA
Source: RNAcentral
UACGGAAGGUCCGGGCGUUAUCCGGAUUUAUUGGGUUUAAAGGGAGCGUAGGCCGGAGAUUAAGCGUGUUGUGAAAUGUAGAUGCUCAACAUCUGAACUGCAGCGCGAACUGGUUUCCUUGAGUACGCACAAAGUGGGCGGAAUUCGUGGUGUAGCGGUGAAAUGCUUAGAUAUCACGAAGAACUCCGAUUGCGAAGGCAGCUCACUGGAGCGCAACUGACGCUGAAGCUCGAAAGUGCGGGUAUCGAACAGGAUUAGAAACCCGUGGCUGACUGACU